RNAcentral lists this ribosomal RNA (921 nucleotides) under uncultured bacterium. Its description in RNAcentral is "bacterial SSU rRNA". It matches the Rfam family "Bacterial small subunit ribosomal RNA", at positions 8 to 890 of the family's 1533-position model. The record is from RNAcentral.
AGAGUUUGAUCCUGGCUCAGAAUGAACGUUGGCGGCGUGGAUUAGGCAUGCAAGUCGAGCGGUAGGGAACUGCUCACUUCAAGCUGUUAGCUAAUAGCUGUUAGCCGAGAGCUUUGAGGUGAGCAGUUCCUGAGAGCGGCGAAAGGGAGAGUAAUACGUAGUUACGUGCCCCGAGGUCCGGAAUAGCCACGGGAAACUGUGGGUAAUGCCGGAUGUUGUCUUCGGACUAAAGGUGUGAUUCCGCCUUGGGAGCGGACUGCGUUGUACUAGCUAGUUGGUAGGGUAAUGGCCUACCAAGGCGAUGAUGCAUAGCGGGCGUGAGAGCGUGGCCCGCCUCACUGGGACUGAGACACUGCCCAGACACCUACGGGUGGCUGCAGUCGAGAAUCUUCGGCAAUGGGCGAAAGCCUGACCGAGCGACGCCGCGUGCGGGAUGAAGGCCUUCGGGUUGUAAACCGCUGUCGUAGGGGAGGAAAUUGAUCGGGGUUCUCCCCGGUUAUUGACCUAUCCUAGGAGGAAGGACGGGCUAAGUUCGUGCCAGCAGCCGCGGUAAUACGAACCGUCCAAACGUUAUUCGGAAUCAUUGGGCUUAAAGGGUACGUAGGCGGCGCUGUCAGUCGGGUGUGAAAGCCCUCGGCUCAACCGAGGAAUUGCGCCCGAUACUGCAGUGCUUGAGGGAGACAGAGGUAAGCGGAACUGAUGGUGGAGCGGUGAAAUGCGUUGAUAUCAUCAGGAACACCGGUGGCGAAAGCGGCUUACUGGGUCUCUUCUGACGCUGAGGUACGAAAGCUAGGGGAGCGAAGGGGAUUAGAUACCCCCGUAGUCCUAGCUGUAAACGUUGAGCACUUGACCGUGGACCCCCCCAUAGGUUCUCGGUCGUAGCGAAAGUGUUAAGUGCUCCGCCUGGGGAGUAUGGUCGCA